Molecule: transfer-messenger RNA, 346 nt
Filed under: Myxococcota
Lineage: Bacteria; Pseudomonadati
Also listed under: 1 other name
Description: JAGOKF01 sp017994695 Standard tmRNA
Rfam family: transfer-messenger RNA
About the family: Bacterial tmRNA, also known as 10Sa RNA or SsrA, is named for its dual tRNA and mRNA-like properties.
Source: RNAcentral
GGGGGCGAUCCGGUUUCGACGGGAUGACGAGGGGGCGGACUGCGUGUCCGGGGCCUGGACCCGGUGAGCAAACAGGAACGGUUCAACUGCCAACGACAACUUGGCUCUCGCGGCUUGACCGUGACGUGUCGUGAGGGGGCGCCCGUAAGCCUCGCGAUGCGCGUUGUACUCGGGCUGGCGAUCCGGCGGGGCUCCCCCCCGCGCCGGCGCGAGAUGUCGGGGGAAGGCCGCCCGGACGGGUGCCCGUGCCCAGUCUGGGAGGUCCGAAGGUUCACGAGGCUACGCACGUAGCAUGUCCGUUUCCGAGCAUCUUCGGACGGGGGUUCGACUCCCCCCGCCUCCACCG